AUUGAACGCUGGCGGCAGGCCUAACACAUGCCAGUCGAGCGGAUGAAGGGAGCUUGCUCCUGGAUUCAGCGGCGGACGGGUGAGUAAUGCCUAGGAAUCUGCCUGGUAGUGGGGGAUAACGUCCGGAAACGGGCGCUAAUACCGCAUACGUCCUGAGGGAGAAAGUGGGGGAUCUUCGGACCUCACGCUAUCAGACGAGCCUAGGUCGGAUUAGCUAGUUGGUGGGGUAAAGGCCUACCAAGGCGACGAUCCGUAACUGGUCUGAGAGGAUGAUCAGUCACACUGGAACUGAGACACGGUCCAGACUCCUACGGGAGGCAGCAGUGGGGAAUAUUGGACAAUGGGCGAAAGCCUGAUCCAGCCAUGCCGCGUGUGUGAAGAAGGUCUUCGGAUUGUAAAGCACUUUAAGUUGGGAGGAAGGGCAGUAAGUUAAUACCUUGCUGUUUUGACGUUACCAACAGAAUAAGCACCGGCUAACUUCGUG
RNAcentral lists this ribosomal RNA (484 nucleotides) under uncultured bacterium. RNAcentral describes it as "partial 16S ribosomal RNA". It matches the Rfam family "Bacterial small subunit ribosomal RNA", at positions 30 to 507 of the family's 1533-position model. The record is from RNAcentral.